GGGAAGAUGGCUCAGUGGUAGAGUGCUUGCCUUGCAUGCAUGAGGCCCUGGGUUCGAUUCCUCAGUACCA
This is a non-coding RNA of Dipodomys ordii (Ord's kangaroo rat), 70 nucleotides long. The record is from Rfam. NCBI's taxonomy places the organism in Eukaryota, Metazoa, Chordata, Mammalia, Rodentia, Heteromyidae.